UGGGAGGGAGAGCUAAACCUUCAGAGAGGCAGACACGCCUGGGAAACCAGAAGAGACUGCACUCUGAACACACAUCUCGGACGCCAGAGGAAAACACCAAACGCCAUCUGGAACCCUGGUGCACUGAAGCUCCCGGAAACGGCGGCACAGAUCUUCCUGGUUGCUGCCGCCGCAGAGAGCUCGUGGGCAGCAAACCCCACGAGCGAACUUAAGCCUCGGGACCACAGGUAAGACCAACUUUUCUGCUGCAAGAGACCUGCCUGGUGAACUCAAGACACAGGCCCACAGGAACAGCUGAAGACCUGUAGAGAGGAAAAACUACACGCCCGAAAGCAGAACACUCUGUCCCCAAAACAGGCUGAAAGAAAACAGGAAAA
This 377-nucleotide long non-coding RNA is filed under the name Rattus norvegicus (Norway rat). RNAcentral describes it as "long non-coding RNA NONRATT006823". The record is from RNAcentral. Lineage: Eukaryota; Metazoa; Chordata; Mammalia; Rodentia; Muridae.